Molecule: ribosomal RNA, 920 nt
Filed under: Candidatus Phytoplasma asteris-related phytoplasma
Lineage: Bacteria; Bacillati; Mycoplasmatota; Mollicutes; Acholeplasmatales; Acholeplasmataceae
Description: bacterial SSU rRNA
Rfam family: Bacterial small subunit ribosomal RNA
Source: RNAcentral
CUUAAAGAGGGGCUUGCGCCACAUUAGUUAGUUGGUAAGGUAAAAGCUUACCAAGACGAUGAUGUGUAGCUGGACUGAGAGGUCGAACAGCCACAUUGGGACUGAGACACGGCCCAAACUCCUACGGGAGGCAGCAGUAAGGAAUUUUUGGCAAUGGAGGAAACUCUGACCGAGCGACGCCGCGUGAACAAUGAAGUACUUCGGUAUGUAAAGUUCUUUUAUUGAAAAAGAAAAAAUAGUGGAAAAACUAUCUUGACAUUAUUCAAUGAAUAAGCCCCGGCUAAUUAUGUGCCAGCAGCCGCGGUAAUACAUAAGGGGCGAGCGUUAUCCGGAAUUAUUGGGCGUAAAGGGUGCGUAGGCGGUUUGAUAAGUCUAUAGUUUAAAUGNAGCGCUUAACGCUGUAGCGCUAUAGAAACUGUCUGACUAGAGUUAGAUAGAGGCAAGCGGAAUUCCAUGUGUAGCGGUAAAAUGCGUAAAUAUAUGGAGGAACACCAGAGGCGUAGGCGGCUUGCUGGGUCUUAACUGACGCUGAGGCACGAAAGCGUGGGGAGCAAACAGGAUUAGAUACCCUGGUAGUCCACGCCGUAAACGAUGAGUACUAAGUGUCGGGUUUCGGCUCGGUACUGAAGUUAACACAUUAAGUACUCCGCCUGAGUAGUACGUACGCAAGUAUGAAACUUAAAGGAAUUGACGGGACCCCGCACAAGCGGUGGAUCAUGUUGUUUAAUUCGAAGAUACACGAAAAACCUUACCAGGUCUUGACAUAGUUUUGCGACAUUAUAGAAAUAUAAUGAANGNUAUCANAAUUACAGGUGGUGCAUGGUUGUCGUCAGCUCGUGUCGUGAGAUGUUAGGUUAAGUCCUAAAACGAGCGCAACCCUUGUCGUUAGUUGCGACCACGUAAUGGUGAGCACUUUAGCG